RNAcentral lists this ribosomal RNA (292 nucleotides) under uncultured bacterium. Its description in RNAcentral is "partial 16S ribosomal RNA". It matches the Rfam family "Bacterial small subunit ribosomal RNA", at positions 505 to 796 of the family's 1533-position model. The record is from RNAcentral.
GUGUCAGCCGCCGCGGUAAUACGAAGGGGGCUAGCGUUGCUCGGAAUCACUGGGCGUAAAGGGCGCGUAGGCGGCCGUUUAAGUCGGGGGUGAAAGCCUGUGGCUCAACCACAGAAUUGCCUUCGAUACUGGGCGGCUUGAGUCCGGAAGAGGUUGGUGGAACUGCGAGUGUAGAGGUGAAAUUCGUAGAUAUUCGCAAGAACACCGGUGGCGAAGGCGGCCAACUGGUCCGGCACUGACGCUGAGGCGCGAAAGCGUGGGGAGCAAACAGGAUUAGAUACCCUUGUAGUCC